AGAACGAACGCUGGCGGCAGGCUUAACACAUGCAAGUCGAAGGUGAAGCGGGACUUCGGUCCCGUGGAAACUGGCGCACGGGUGAGUAACGCGUGGGAAUCUACCCCGGGGUGGGGAAUAACCAUUGGAAACGAUGGCUAAUACCGCAUACGCCUUUAGAGGGAAAGCUAUAUGCGCCCUGGGAUGAGCCCGCGUCGGAUUAGGUAGUUGGUGGGGUAACGGCCUACCAAGCCGACGAUCCGUAGCUGGUCUGAGAGGAUGAUCAGCCACACUGGGACUGAGACACGGCCCAGACUCCUACGGGAGGCAGCAGUGGGGAAUAUUGGACAAUGGGGGAAACCCUGAUCCAGCCAUGCCGCGUGCGUGAAGAAGGCCUUAGGGUUGUAAAGCGCUUUCGGCGGGGAAGAUGAUGACGGUACCCGCAGAAGAAGCCCCGGCUAACUCCGUGCCAGCAGCCGCGGUAAUACGGAGGGGGCUAGCGUUGUUCGGAAUUACUGGGCGUAAAGGGCGCGUAGGCGGGCAAUCAAGUCAGAGGUGAAAGCCCUGGGCUCAACCUGGGAAUUGCCUUUGAAACUAAUUGUCUAGAGGCCGGAAGAGGAUGGCGGAAUUCCCAGUGUAGAGGUGAAAUUCGUAGAUAUUGGGAAGAACACCAGUGGCGAAGGCGGCCAUCUGGUCCGGUACUGACGCUGAGGCGCGAAAGCGUGGGGAUCAAACAGGAUUAGAUACCCUGGUAGUCCACGCCGUAAACGAUGAGUGCUAGGCGUCGGCACGCUUGCGUGUCGGUGCCGCAGCUAACGCGUGAAGCACUCC
Molecule: ribosomal RNA, 810 nt
Filed under: uncultured bacterium
Lineage: Bacteria
Description: bacterial SSU rRNA
Rfam family: Bacterial small subunit ribosomal RNA
Source: RNAcentral